UGGCGGCAGGCCUAACACAUGCAAGUCGAGCGGUAGAAAGUAGCUUGCUACUUUUGAGAGCGGCGGACGGGUGAGUAACGCGUGGGAAUCUACCUGGUAGUGGGGGACAACUUGGGGAAACUCAAGCUAAUACCGCAUACGCCCUACGGGGGAAAGGAGGGGCUCUUAGGACCUUUCGCUAUCAGAUGAGCCUGCGUAGGAUUAGCUAGUUGGUAGGGUAAAGGCCUACCAAGGCGACGAUCCUUAGCUGGUCUGAGAGGAUGAUCAGCCACACUGGGACUGAGACACGGCCCAGACUCCUACGGGAGGCAGCAGUGGGGAAUAUUGGACAAUGGGGGCAACCCUGAUCCAGCCAUGCCGCGUGUGUGAAGAAGGCCUUCGGGUUGUAAAGCACUUUCAGUGGUGAGGAAGGGUGUGAUGUUAAUACCAUCAUACAUUGACGUUAGCCACAGAAGAAGCACCGGCUAACUCCGUGCCAGCAGCCGCGGUAAUACG
RNAcentral lists this ribosomal RNA (495 nucleotides) under marine sediment bacterium ISA-1198b. Its description in RNAcentral is "bacterial SSU rRNA". It matches the Rfam family "Bacterial small subunit ribosomal RNA", at positions 37 to 527 of the family's 1533-position model. The record is from RNAcentral.